AGGUUAAGUUAACAAGGGCGCAUGGUGAAUGCCUUGGCACUAGGAGCCGAUGAAGGACGGGACUAACACCGAUAUGCUUCGGGGAGCUGUACGUAAGCUAUGAUCCGGAGAUUUCCGAAUGGGGCAACCCAGCAGUUUUAAUCAACUGUUACCACUAGAUGAAUUCAUAGUCUAGUUGGAGGUAAACGCUGUGAACUGAAACAUCUCAUUAGCAGCAGGAAUAUAAAGAAAUUUCGAUUCCCUAAGUAGCGGCGAGCGAACGGGGAACAGCCCAAACCAAAGUGCUUGCACUUUGGGGUUGUAGGACUGAACAUUUGAGUUACCAAAGAACUUGAUAGUCGAAGGAUUUGGGAAAAUCCGCCAUAGAUGGUGAUAGCCCAGUAGAUUAAAUCAAAUUCUCUCAGUUCAGGAUCCUGAGUACGGCGGAACACGUGAAAUUCCGUCGGAAUCCGGGAGGACCAUCUCCCAAGGCUAAAUACUACCUAGUGACCGAUAGUGAACCAGUACCGUGAGGGAAAGGUGAAAAGCACCCCGGGAGGGGAGUGAAAUAGUUCCUGAAACCAUGUGCCUACAAUAAGUCAGAGCGCGUUAAUGCGUGAUGGCGUGCCUUUUGUAGAAUGAACCGGCGAGUUAUGAUCCCGUGCAAGGUUAAGACUAAAAAGUCGGAGCCGUAGCGAAAGCGAGUCUGAAAUGGGCGAUUUGAGUACGAGGUUAUAGACCCGAAACCAGGUGACCUAUCCAUGUCCAGGUUGAAGGUGCGGUAAAACGCACUGGAGGACCGAACCCGUGUAAGUUGAAAAUUGCUGGGAUGAGGUGUGGAUAGCGGUGAAAUUCCAAACGAACUUGGAGAUAGCUGGUUCUCUCCGAAAUAGCUUUAGGGCUAGCCUCGGAUUAAGGAUCAUGGAGGUAGAGCACUAUUUGGACUAGGGGCCCGUCUUGGGUUACUGAAUUCAGAUAAACUCCGAAUGCCAUUGAUUCAUGUCCGGGAGUCAGACGAUGAGUGAUAAGAUCCACCGUCGAAAGGGGAACAGCCCAGACCAUCAGUUAAGGUCCCUAAAUGUAUGCUAAGUGGAAAAGGAUGUGGAGUUGCAUAGACAACUAGGAUGUUGGCUCAGAAGCAGCCACCAUUUAAAGAGUGCGUAAUAGCUCACUAGUCGAGUGAUCCUGCGCCGAAAAUGUACCGGGGCUAAGCAUACUACCGAAACCAUGGAUGCGACCAUUAGGUCGCGUGAUAGGAGAGCGUUCUAAGGGCGGUGAAGCAAGAUCGUGAGGACUUGUGGAGCGCUUAGAAGUGAGAAUGCCGGUAUGAGUAGCGAAAGAUAGGUGAGAAUCCUAUCCACCGAAUGACUAAGGUUUCCUGGGGAAGGCUCGUCCUCCCAGGGUUAGUCGGGACCUAAGUCGAGGCCGAGAGGCGUAGACGAUGGAUAACAGGUUGAGAUUCCUGUACUAGUUAAGUGCGUUUGAGCAAUGGAGGGACGCAGGAGGCUAAGAUGUGCAUUCUGUUGGAUUAGAAUGUCCAAGCAGUAAGUCUUGUGGAGAGUCAAAUGCUUUUCACUUUAAGGACAAGCUGUGAUGGGGAGCGAAAUUUAGUAGCGAAGCGUCUGAUGUCACACUGCCGAGAAAAGCUUCUAGUGAGUACUUAACUACCCGUACCGCAAACCGACACAGGUAGUCGAGGAGAGAAUCCUAAGGUGAGCGAGUGAACUCUCGUUAAGGAACUCGGCAAAAUGACCCCGUAACUUCGGGAGAAGGGGUGCUGAUCGCAAGAUCAGCCGCAGUGAAUAGGCCCAGGCGACUGUUUAUCAAAAACACAGGUCUCUGCAAAAUCGUAAGAUGACGUAUAGGGGCUGACGCCUGCCCGGUGCUGGAAGGUUAAAAGGAUGGGUUAGCUUCGGCGAAGCUCAGAAUUGAAGCCCCAGUAAACGGCGGCCGUAACUAUAACGGUCCUAAGAUAGCGAAAUUCCUUGUCGGGUAAGUUCCGACCCGCACGAAAGGCGUAACGAUCUGGGCACUGUCUCAACGAGAGACUCGGUGAAAUUAUAUUGUCCGUGAAGAUGCGGACUACCCGCGACAGGACGGAAAGACCCCAUGGAGCUUUACUGUAGCUUGAUAUUGAGUGUUUGUACAGCUUGUACAGGAUAGGUAGGAGCCAUAGAAACCGGAACGCUAGUUUCGGUGGAGGCGUUGGUGGGAUACUACCCUCGCUGUAUGACCACUCUAACCCGCACCACUAAUCGUGGUGGGAGACAGUGUCAGGUGGGCAGUUUGACUGGGGCGGUCGCCUCCUAAAAAGUAACGGAGGCGCCCAAAGGUUCCCUCAGAAUGGUUGGAAAUCAUUCGCAGAGUGUAAAGGCACAAGGGAGCUUGACUGCGAGACAGACAGGUCGAGCAGGGACGAAAGUCGGGCUUAGUGAUCCGGUGGUACCGUAUGGAAGGGCCAUCGCUCAACGGAUAAAAGCUACCCUGGGGAUAACAGGCUUAUCUCCCCCAAGAGUCCACAUCGACGGGGAGGUUUGGCACCUCGAUGUCGGCUCAUCGCAUCCUGGGGCUGUAGUCGGUCCCAAGGGUUGGGCUGUUCGCCCAUUAAAGCGGUACGCGAGCUGGGUUCAGAACGUCGUGAGACAGUUCGGUCCCUAUCCGUCGCGGGCGUAGGAAAUUUGAGAGGACCUGUCCUUAGUACGAGAGGACCGGGAUGGACAUACCUCUGGUGUACCAGUUGUGCCGCCAGGCGCAUCGCUGGGUAGCUACGUAUGGAUGUGAUAAACGCUGAAAGCAUCUAAGUGUGAAACACACCUCGAGAUGAGAUUUCCCAUUCCUUUAUGGAAGUAAGACCCCUGAAAGAUGAUCAGGUAGAUAGGUUAGAAGUGGCAGUGCGGUGACGCAUGAAGCGGACUAAUACUAAUCGGUCGAGGACUUAACCAAG
This 2923-nucleotide ribosomal RNA is filed under the name Lactiplantibacillus pentosus. RNAcentral's name for it is "bacterial LSU rRNA". It matches the Rfam family "Bacterial large subunit ribosomal RNA". Lineage: Bacteria; Bacillati; Bacillota; Bacilli; Lactobacillales; Lactobacillaceae. The record is from RNAcentral.